ACGGAGACUCGUGCUUAAGCAAAUAAACAUAAUCCCCGAUCUACGCAUUCUUGUUUUCAAAACAAACUCAUAAUUAAUCAUGUUGUCUUUAAAUGUCUUUUGAAUUUAAGUUAUUUUUUUUACUCAGAAAAGGAGAAGUAGUUAUUUCCAGUUUAGAUUAUUGAAAAAACAGAGCCUACUAUUUUUUUUAUUAGUUGUCCCCCUACUUUAGUAGCCUGUUGUUUAACAGUUGUACGCCAGUAUCUGUGCAUACAUUAUCUGAUUUAUUACGAUAUGGGAAUUUAAUACGGACAACAAACACUUAAUAUGUCAAUCAUGACUAAAGAUGUUAAAUUAAUUUUCAUAAUCUUAAAAAAAAAAAAACACACGAAGAAACCAAAACAACCACAACUACCGACAGUUACAAUAACACUUAAACUGCCAAUCAGGACUAAAGGUGUAAGAUUAUUUUCUUGCAUAUUCUUCACAAAAAAAGAGAGAAGUUUUUAAAUCUCUUUACAUUGGGUCAUUUGGGGAAAAGAGGGUAUAUAAACAGAGAGACUCUGUUUUGCUUCAAAUCACACGCUGUAUUUCACCCUCAAGAUCUACACAGGUGUAAUUGUAAAAUAUCCAGUUUAACUGUGUAGAAACAUUAUACAGAGAAAUAUAGGGGGAAACAUAGUAGCUGAACCAUCCUUAAAGCACUGUAAAUUGUACACUUGUUUGGGAAAAAUACUGAGAGGUAUUUCAUGUAGUGGAAAUAUACACCGUGAUCUGUUAGACAACAAGCGGGUCGAUGACGAAGAACACACCUAUCUCACACUGAUCGCAGGGGAAUUCCCGUGACGAGUUCCGGUUUGUGUACGACAUAAAUAUGAAUAGUUUUAUUUACGUAUUUAGAAUUUAAAUCAACGUCUCUUUGACAGAAUGGCUAUAAAGUGCAGAAUUCUUCCUAUGUGUGUUUUAUCUAUCUACGGUAAGUUAAACCUGCUGAUUUUAAUUGCACAUUAUUAAUCAAUCUCUAUAUAUAGUGAGUUAAAUAUGCUUAUUAUAAUUACAAGCAAUUAAUUGAUCUCUAUCUACAUAGUAAGUUAAAUAUGUUUAGUAUAAUUACACAUUAUUAAUUAAUCUCUAUCUAUAAUAAGUUAAAUAUGUUUAUUAUAAUUACAUAUUAUUUAUUAAUAUCUAUCUACAUAGUAAGUUAAAUAUGUUUAUUAUAAUUACACAUUAUUAAUUAAUCUAAAAAGACUUUAUUGCGUACUUAGUUAAAGGAACCAGCGUUCUCCACCGUGGGCUUCACCACGGAGACUCGUUCUGAUUAACCUAAUUGUAGGUAAAGGAAUCCCGCCAUUGUCAUCAUUGACAGUUUUAUUUACGUGAUAUUCAAAUUUUAGAAUAAAUGUGACUCAAGGAUUGCAUAAAAAGUAGCUGACUUUUCUUGUUUGUAUUGUUUAUAUUGCGUAAUAAAACCCAAACAUGCUGGAUUUUAUACAGGAAGGUCUCCACAGGUAAACUAAAGAAGCCGGUGUACGUGCAUUACACGCAAGUCUGUAUGAUAAAAGAUUUCACACCUCCAUGUAGUAAACAUGUCUGUAUGAUAAACAAAAGAUUUCACACCUCCAUGUAGUAAGCAAGUCUGCAUGAUAAACAAAAGGUUUCACACCUCCAUAUAGUAAGCAUGUAUGUAUGAUAAACAGAAGAUUUCACACCUCCAUGUAGUAAGCAAGUCUGUAUGAUAAACAAAAGAUUGCACACCUCCAUGUAGUAAGCAUCUCUGUAUGAUAAACAAAAGAUUUCACACCUCCAUGUAGUAAACAUGUAUGUAUGAUAAACAAAAGAUUUCACACCUCCAUGUAGUAAACAAUUCGCAGUGUCUAAUGCCUUCUUUAUCAUGGACUUGACCAAUGUGGAUUUAAACAAACACGGACAAUAUCUAAUGUUUUCUAUAUUGUAGAUAUAACCAAUAUUGAUUUAAACAAACACGGACAAUAUCUAAUGUUUUGUAUAUUGUAGAUACAACCAAUAUUGAUUUAAACAAACACGGACAAUAUCUAAUGUUUUCUACAUUGUAAAUAUAACCAAUAUGGAUUUAAACGAACACGGGCAAUAUCUAAUGUUUUCUAUAUUGUAAAUAUAACCAAUAUGGAUUUAAACAAACACGGACAAUAUCUAAUGUUUUCUAUAUUGUAGAUAUAACCAAUAUUGAUUUAAACAAACACGUACAAUAUCUAAUGUUUUCUGAUAUUUUGACUGAAUUAGUUAGAGCUAGCCAUAAUAUAGUUUUCUUUAUUCACCAUUCGUGUUUACCAGCGAGUAAUUGCUUUAUUACAUUCAUCAUUCGUGUUUACCAGCGAGUAAUUGCUUUAUUACAUUCAUCAUUAGUGUUUACCAGCGAGUAAUUGCUUUAUUACAUUCAUCAUUAGUGUUUUCCAGCGAGUAAUUGCUUUAAUACAUUCAUUAUUAGUGUUUAACAGCGAGUAAUUGCUUUAUUACAUUCAUCAUUAGUGUUUUCCAGCGAGUAAUUGUUUUAUUACAUUCAUCAUUAGUGUUUUCCAGCGAGUAAUUGCUUUAUUACAUUCAUCAUUAGUGUUUAACAGCGACAAGUAAUUGCUUUAUUACAUUCAUCAGUAGGUUUGCUCAGUGUUAAUGCUGUUAUAGGAGCUGUUGUGAAUUCUACUGGGAUCACAAACAGUACCACCAACAAUGGAACUACCCCAGCUGUCAUCAACGACGGCGGCAACGAUGAUGGGUCUCCGUCCACGGGCAUGACGGUAUUUUACGUGUUUCUGGGGAUUUUUGGGGGUGUUUUCGUACUGGUAUUCAUGUGCUUUUGCUGCACUCUUCUGUGUAAACAGUGUGGACAUUGUGAAGACACGGAAGUCAACAUGACAUGUGAGUGCUGCGGUGCCACGGUUUGGCAGAAGUCAUAUUAAUUAAAAUUCGCCAGUGUGUGACAAAAGUCAUAUCAACCUACACCAGUGUGUGACAAAAGUCAUAUCAACAUUCAUCAGUGUGUGCAUGUGAUAAAAGCCAUAUUAACGUACGCCAGAGUGCGAAAAGUCGUAUUAUAUUACAUGAGUGAAAUUAUCAAUUCAUUACACUACACUUGUAUGAAUGAAGGUAUUAUCAUAAUAGAGUUCAUUAGUGUGCAACAGACGCGGAAGUCAUAUUAGAUGACACCGGUAAAGAAACAAUCCCUAGUACUUCCCUUCAUAUUCACAUUGUAGUAGAACUCUCUCAAGUAGGUAUAGAUCAUUUGGCAGUGCACCAUAUUCAUCAAAGGAAAUGAUAGCACUUGAACUAUACUAUAAAACUGGACAAUGGUUAAGCGUUACAAUGACACUAACUUAACAUAAAGCAAAAUUAAAUUCAUGCACGAGAGGCCCAUGGGCUACAACGCUCACAUGAAUCACCCUUGGCCCUGUUAUACAUGGGAAGAAGAUUUUUAUAAAGAUAUUUACAUUCUUUAACCCCAGUAGAAAUUUUGGCCCAGUGUUUUUGAGAUCUUUAUAUGUUACAUUCUACAUAUAUAUAUUUUCAUUGCUUUCAUCUUGAUUUAUUUACCUGGUAAAUACCUUUAUUCCUCUGCUCGUUUGUUAAAGGAUAUGUGAGCGAAUGUUUACUGCACUAAUUACGAUGUAAUAAUUACACGUUACUAUUUACGAUAGUAGUUACGACGUUGUAACGGGACUGUAUACGACACUGAUUACGAAAGUAUAUAAGAGUAUUUACAACACUAUUUACGACAUUGAACGUGAGUGCUUACAACACUAUUUACGACAUUGCAUGUGUGUGUUUAUGACAUUUUAAGUGAAAGUUUACGACACUAUUUACGACAUUGCAUGUGAGUAUUUACGACAUUUGGUUUUGAAAAUUUACGACACUAAUUACGACAUUACAGGCGAGUGUUUACGACAGUUUAAGUGACAGUUUAUGAUACUGAUUACGACUUUAACUGUGAUUAUUGUAGACAUCUUUUUAAUUAAAAUUUCAUCCGUCUCUUUGAUGCCUCAUCAUACGCUACAGGAGUCGUACUUACGAAUACGUCAUCAGAACACUUCAAUUACUUAACAUGCAAUCAGGACGAACGAUAGGGGCGAAGGAGAGGAUUGUAGUUUACUGUCUAUCUUAUGGAAACAAAGAAAGUAUUGAUUUCACAAUAGUAAGAUUAUCUUCACUAAAUAUCUCUCAAAAGUUCAAGAGCUUCAACUCAAGCAUGCAUCUAAUGACUCCGACAAACAUACUCUUUCUCUGUAAAUGCUAUUAGAAGAACAUCCUAGUGCAUCCCCAUUUUCAGAAAAUACUACUAUUCAAGAAAUCAUGCACGGUUUUAAAAGUACAUAUUACAAAUUUCCAAAUCCGUAAUUUGUAUUAUAUAUCACAGCAAUUAGACUUGAGAACUUGUAUAUUGUAAACUCUUGUGUUCGAAUGGAGGGAAAGGGUAUUUAUUUCUCUGUCAUUUAUCUAUUUAUAGAACAAAGUUUUUGAGGUAUCUAAUUUUCUGUUAUUUAUGUAUUUAUAGAACAAAGUUUUUGAGGUAUCUAAUUCUCUCUCAUUUAUGUAUUUAUAGAACAAAGUUUUUGAGGUAUCUAAAUUUCUGUCAUUUAUGUAUUUAUAGAACAAAGUUUUUGAGGUAUCUAAUUCUCUGUUGUUUAUGUAUUUAUGAAAUAAAGUUUUGAAAUUCA
Molecule: RNA transcript, 4664 nt
Organism: Ostrea edulis (European flat oyster)
Lineage: Eukaryota; Metazoa; Mollusca; Bivalvia; Ostreida; Ostreidae
Exons: 3
Source: RefSeq, a predicted model, not a curated record